Molecule: ribosomal RNA, 477 nt
Filed under: uncultured Acidobacteriota bacterium
Lineage: Bacteria; Pseudomonadati; Acidobacteriota
Description: bacterial SSU rRNA
Rfam family: Bacterial small subunit ribosomal RNA
Source: RNAcentral
GAGGGGCCCGCGCCCGAUUAGCUUGUUGGUAGGGUAACGGCCUACCAAGGCCUUGAUCGGUAGCCGGUCUGAGAGGAUGGCCGGCCACACUGGAACUGAGACACGGUCCAGACUCCUACGGGAGGCAGCAGUGGGGAAUCUUGCGCAAUGGGCGAAAGCCUGACGCAGCGACGCCGCGUGGGGGAUGAAGCUUCUCGGAGUGUAAACCCCUUUCGACCCGGACGAAUGGCCCGCAAGGGACGUGACGGUACGGGUAGAAGAAGCCCCGGCUAACUACGUGCCAGCAGCCGCGGUAAGACGUAGGGGGCCAGCGUUGCUCGGAAUUACUGGGCGUAAAGGGUCCGUAGGCGGUGCGGCAAGUCGGGGGUGAAAUCUCUGGGCUUAACUCAGAGGCUGCCUCCGGAACUGCCGUGCUCGAGUGCGGGAGAGGCGAGCGGAAUUGCAGGUGUAGCGGUGAAAUGCGUAGAUAUCUGCAGG